Betta splendens (Siamese fighting fish) is the source of this 1977-nucleotide long non-coding RNA. The record is from Ensembl. NCBI's taxonomy places the organism in Eukaryota, Metazoa, Chordata, Actinopteri, Anabantiformes, Osphronemidae.
AUGGCAAUACAUUUCACCAGUGCUUUUUCUCCAGAUAUAGGAAUAAUGGCCGCACUCAAAGACACGUCUCCAGUUGCGAUCUUGGGGAGGAAACAUCCUCUCCUUUCUCAGGAGAUUGAGAAAUAUUCCAAGAAAUGGAGUAAGCGGACGGGUAAAGCCCAGUCACCCUGGCCAUCCGAUGGAACAUUCGAUCAUGAGCAAUGUGUGGAGAUGGAAGUGUUAAUAAAAAAUUACAAAAUAAAAGAUAAAUCUGCCAAGCGACUGUGUAAACGUGAGCGUGAGGUUGCAAUGCUAAAGUUAUUCACAGAUCAAGCCCAACUCCUGAGGGAGAAAACAGCUGAAUAUGUGAAAAAACAGAUUGAGCGGAGAAAAGAGGAGAGAAAAAAGGGAGAAUCCUUAAAAGCAGAACCCCCAUCUUAUGCUGCACAGAUGCCGGUGCGGGAGAUCAGACUAUUAGGAGACUAUUCACUUAGGUCCGGUAAAUCAGGUAAAAGCAUCUAUCCCAUUGAUGAGUUAAAGAAGGUCAGGGAAAGAGGGAGAGAGCUAGAUGACAUAGAAGACUUACCUGCCACGUAUGCUAAAGCAGUUCAGCUUGCAGGGAAAGACACUCGUCGUAUUAGUGGCUUACAUGAUAAAAUAAUGCAUGACAUAAAACAAUCUGAGUGUGCAGAGGACGGCAGCGAGGGCGAGGAGCAAGGCGAAGAAGAAGGAGCAACUGGGGAGAGUGAAAGAGUCCGAAGAUCCCUGGCAGAGGUACAGUACUCUAAAUUGCCAGAUCCAAGUAUGGUCUCUACCCCUCGCUAUCUGCAGGCUGGUGCUAAGCCCAAGCAGGCCAGGAUAAAGGAAAAGAUGCCCCGUUCUGAGUCCUUUGCCCCUGGCAGUGAAGUAGUAGAGGAGCACGGACAGAUGGAAGGCGUCAUCACGCUCAGCUCCAAGGGACAUCCAGUGUCAGCAGAAGUAGUAGAGGAGGCGUCCGAAUACCCCCUGCUGGCCAAAGGAGCAAAUCUGCAGUAUGUGCCCUGGCCAACCAUGGACCUGGAAGGGCUGGUGCAGAGACUGCCAUGUCUGCAUGAUGGCGCCGGGAAAUGGGUAGCAGCCUUCGAAGAAGAAACUAUAGCCACCAUCCUGGCAGUGGGUGACCUCAAGGCCCUCCUUGGGAAGGUGCUGGGGAAGCAGGAGAUGGAGGAGACGCUGAGAUCGGCGCAGAUGAAUGCAUAUGCAGGUACACAAGCACACGAUGGAGAGUUGUUCAACAGGCAUCGCAAUGCGCUGUGGACAGCUCUGAGACUUCGCUAUCCAACCAGAAUUCAGCCUGAUAGCAUUGUAGCUGUGCCAAUAAAAGAUGAUGAGAGCCCACAAGCCUAUGUUCACCUCACUCGAAAAGAAUGGAUCAGACAAACAGGUGGAAGACCUGAUGAGGACAUUUUCCAUAGGCAGGCUCUCAGAAAAAGAAUUGUUGAUGGUUUGCCCUUGCCUGCACAAAGUAAGCUGGGAGAUGCAGUGGGGCUUUACACCAUGCCCUUUGAGCAAUUCACUGACCAUGUUAUUGAUGCUGUGACCAAAAUUCGUUCUGCUGCGCUCCGUCAGAAGCAGCAGGAUGAAGAGACGGUGAGAAAACUGACCCAGCAGCAGCUAACUGAAGGGAGGAAAAAGAUCCAAGCAGUGGUUCAGCCUGUGACUGCAGCUGGACAUGCACCUCCCCCCACCAUCACAGCCCCACCUGCUGUCCAGCCACAAGUUAUCUACGUCCAGUCAGGAGGCUGGAGAGGCGGCCCACCAAGGAUGAGAGGGGGAGCCACGGUUGGGAGAGCACGGGUGAUGUGGGGUAAUCAAGAAAGUGAGGUAAGGUGCUUCCGCUGUGGCAGAGUUGGACACAUGAGACGUCAGUGUUACGGGUCGGUGCGCCAGAUCCCACAAGGAGCCCCACGGCAGAUGGGACCCACCAGUCCAUGGCAGGGUCCUCCUGCUGGAUACUAG